ACAUCUGGAAUACUCACGAUUACUAUCGUGGAGAAUUACUACAUGUUGUGCUUGAAAAACAACACUUAAAAGACACUUUAUAUAUUCAAAUGUUUUCCGUUUCACGCCGCUAAUCAAAAAGAAAAUAUUGGCUUUACAUAUAGAGUAAGCUGAGCAACGAGUUUGCGCAUAGCUUCUGCGUAUCUAUUUGUAAUGGCGUGUACAUUUUUUAUUGUAUCAUGUAAACAAUCUUCGCUAUGAUAUUUAUAUUAUAACUAUAUAUACUCUUAAUUGUAUUCCUGCUCAUGGUUACUGCAUAGUCGUCAAUGUGAAGCUCUGUGAACGAUCGUCGGUCGCUGGAGAUAUUUCGGAAAGAACAACGUAUGUUUAUGUAUAUGCAAUGGACUGCCAAACUUGGGUUUAGUAUUGAAGACGACUCAAUGGUGUAGACAUUGAGACUGCAAAUUUUGAAGCCUAUUCUGAUUCAAAGUCGGUCGUAUUGUAAAUCCUGCGGACCUAUAUACUCGCCUGUAGUGAAGGUCAACGUUAAGCUCUUAAAAGGUGGAAACAAAACAAAAAAGACAAGUUAUUAAAAAAGAUUAGCGUGAAUUUUAGCACGCGAAUACACAGAGCCUCGCACAAAGAGAUUACGUCUUUCUCAGGCGGCUAAGCUGAACUGCCGCAGCAUCCUUUGUUUUGUCUACGCGGGCUCAGACGUUGGGAGGCCGCCGAAGCUCGCACUGAAACCAAAAAUCACACGCUGUCACCGACACAGAUUUAGAAACCAGAUGUCCUGCGUUAAUUACAAACCCGAUUAAUUCAUUCAAUUGUUUUAACAAAUUAGUUUUAAAUGAUAUCAAUGGAUUGAUGAAAAAAAGCACUCAAUGAAGAAACGAUGAUAAAGAGACUAGUUUAGUUAUCAGAGACUAGAAAAACCACGGCAUCUGUAAAAUAACAUUGAGUUUAACUCGCGUUUUACAUCUGUUUUUAAGUAACAGAAAUGGAAACUCUCGCUCAAUAACAAUAUUUCACUCUGUGACUUCAUUACUUCUGAACAUUUCACCGAGUAAAGAUUUUGUUUUCGGUUUUCCAACUGAAAAACCAUGCGUAAACGAUCACGCGCUGUAUCAGGGUUAUG
Long non-coding RNA from Dendronephthya gigantea, 1117 nucleotides. RefSeq lists it as uncharacterized. The record is from RefSeq and is a predicted model, not a curated record. The transcript is spliced from 3 exons. Lineage: Eukaryota; Metazoa; Cnidaria; Anthozoa; Malacalcyonacea; Nephtheidae.